RNAcentral lists this small nuclear RNA (113 nucleotides) under Jaculus jaculus (lesser Egyptian jerboa). Lineage: Eukaryota; Metazoa; Chordata; Mammalia; Rodentia; Dipodidae. The record is from RNAcentral.
GUGGGAAAGAAAGAGAGACCAGCACAUACACUAAUAUUGGCACGGUACAGAGAAGAUCCGCAUGGCCCCUGCGCAAGGAUGACAUGCAAAUUCGUGAAGCGUUCCAUAUUUUU